GCAAGUCGAACGCUUUUUUCAUCAUCGUAGCUUGCUACACCGAUUGAAAAUUGAGUGGCGAACGGGUGAGUAACACGUGGGUAACCUGCCCAAAAGAGGGGGAUAACACUUGGAAACAGGUGCUAAUACCGCAUAACCAUGAUGACCGCAUGGUCAUUAUGUAAAAGAUGGUUUCGGCUAUCACUUUUGGAUGGACCCGCGGCGUAUUAACUUGUUGGUGGGGUAACGGCCUACCAAGGUAAUGAUACGUAGCCGAACUGAGAGGUUGAUCGGCCACAUUGGGACUGAGACACGGCCCAAACUCCUACGGGAGGCAGCAGUAGGGAAUCUUCCACAAUGGGCGCAAGCCUGAUGGAGCAACGCCGCGUGAGUGAAGAAGGUCUUCGGAUCGUAAAACUCUGUUGUUAGAGAAGAACAUGCAAGAGAGUAACUGUUCUUGUAUUGACGGUAUCUAACCAGAAAGCCACGGCUAACUACGUGCCAGCAGCCGCGGUAAUACGUAGGUGGCAAGCGUUGUCCGGAUUUAUUGGGCGUAAAGGGAACGCAGGCGGUCCUUUAAGUCUGAUGUGAAAGCCUUCGGCUUAACCGAAGAAUUGCAUUGGAAACUGGAGGACUUGAGUGCAGAAGAGGAGAGUGGAACUCCAUGUGUAGCGGUGAAAUGCGUAGAUAUAUGGAAGAACACCAGUGGCGAAAGCGGCUCUCUGGUCUGUAACUGACGCUGAGGUUCGAAAGUGUGGGUAGCAAACAGGAUUAGAUACCCUGGUAGUCCACACCG
RNAcentral lists this ribosomal RNA (775 nucleotides) under Limosilactobacillus fermentum. RNAcentral describes it as "bacterial SSU rRNA". It matches the Rfam family "Bacterial small subunit ribosomal RNA", at positions 57 to 802 of the family's 1533-position model. The record is from RNAcentral. Lineage: Bacteria; Bacillati; Bacillota; Bacilli; Lactobacillales; Lactobacillaceae.